Molecule: ribosomal RNA, 449 nt
Filed under: uncultured bacterium
Lineage: Bacteria
Description: bacterial SSU rRNA
Rfam family: Bacterial small subunit ribosomal RNA
Source: RNAcentral
GAUGAACGCUAGCGGCAUGCCUAACACAUGCAAGUCGAACGAGACCUUCGGGUCUAGUGGCGCACGGGUGCGUAACGCGUGGGAAUCUGCCCUUGGGUUCGGAAUAACAGCGAGAAAUUGCUGCUAAUACCGGAUGAUGACGUAAGUCCAAAGAUUUAUCGCCCAAGGAUGAGCCCGCGUAGGAUUAGCUAGUUGGUGAGGUAAAGGCUCACCAAGGCGACGAUCCUUAGCUGGUCUGAGAGGAUGAUCAGCCACACUGGGACUGAGACACGGCCCAGACUCCUACGGGAGGCAGCAGUGGGGAAUAUUGGACAAUGGGCGAAAGCCUGAUCCAGCAAUGCCGCGUGAGUGAUGAAGGCCUUAGGGUUGUAAAGCUCUUUACCCGGGAUGAUAAUGACAGUACCGGGAGAAUAAGCUCCGGCUAACUCCGUGCCAGCAGCCGCGGUAAU